AUUGAACGCUGGCGGCAUGCCUUACACAUGCAAGUCGAACGGCAGCACGGGAGCAAUCCUGGUGGCGAGUGGCGAACGGGUGAGUAAUACAUCGGAACGUGCCCAGUAGUGGGGGAUAACCCGGCGAAAGCCGGACUAAUACCGCAUACGACCUACGGGUGAAAGCGGGGGAUCGCAAGACCUCGCGCUAUCGGAGCGGCCGAUGUCAGAUUAGCGAGUUGGUGGGGUAAAGGCCUACCAAGGCGACGAUCUGUAGCUGGUCUGAGAGGACGACCAGCCACACUGGAACUGAGACACGGCCCAGACUCCUACGGGAGGCAGCAGUGGGGAAUUUUGGACAAUGGGCGCAAGCCUGAUCCAGCCAUGCCGCGUGCGGGAAGAAGGCCUUCGGGUUGUAAACCGCUUUUGUCAGGGAAGAAACGCUCCGGGCUAAUACCACGGAGUAAUGACGGUACCUGAAGAAUAAGCACCGGCUAACUACGUG
This 484-nucleotide ribosomal RNA is filed under the name uncultured bacterium. RNAcentral describes it as "partial 16S ribosomal RNA". It matches the Rfam family "Bacterial small subunit ribosomal RNA", at positions 29 to 507 of the family's 1533-position model. The record is from RNAcentral.